CUCUUACAAAUAAGUGCAGAAUGGUCUUAAACAUGAAGUCAAAUGGAUCAUAGUACUAAUGCUAAAUCUUUUAUCCAGUGUAUAUUCAUUAAAAUCUGUAAUGUCCAAAAACAAAUGACUGUUAUUACAUAUGUUUCUUUGAUAAAUCCAGAUUAUUCAUCUAUAAUAAAACAGAAUUGUAAAUUUCACCUCUUAGCAAAAAUGGGUACAAAUAUUUUGGUUUCAUUUCUUAAAGACUGGCUGCUCUCAAGCUUUAUUAAUUUAUGCAUUUUUGGUUUGCAGACAUUGGAGGGCUCCGGCCCAGCCCACCAACUGUCUCCCUCUCUCUGACUCUUAAGUGUUAGUGUCGUAACUUUCAGCUUCAUCUAACAUCAAAGUUCAUUACAGAUAGUUUCAUCUGAAGCUCAGAUUCUGAUUUUAAUACAGAAACACAGAAAUGUUUGCUGGAACUGCGUCACUCUGCUCCACUUUGCUGUUUCUCAGCGUCUUCAUGUUUGUCUCUUCAGAUCAGAAAAUCAUCACAGCUGAUAUUGGAGACAGUGUCAUUCUGCCAUGUCGAGUUACAAACAAGAUCACAGCUGUAAAGUGGAUCAAACACUACCUGGGAGAGAAAAUUGUCUUUUUGUACCAGGAUAAUAAAGUUGAUUCAGAUAACCAGAAUUCAUUUUAUAAGAACCGGGUGGAUCUGCAGGACAGACAUAUGAAGGAUGGAGACGUGUCUAUAAUUCUGAAGGAUGUGACGAUUUAUGAUAAUGGAACAUACCACUGUCAUGUUAAAGUAGCAGGAACAAACUCAUGGAAAUACAUCAGCUACAUCUACCUUCAUGUUGAUCCUCCAGGUCGAUCAGGAGGACUGGGUGGAUCUAUUGGACUGAUUGUAGGUGUGGUAGUUGCUGUUAUGGUUGUUUCUCUUUGUCUUUCUUUCUGUUUCUGUACAGCUCUGAGAAAUAUUGUCACACGCUAUCUUCAGACCAGAGCACAACCGCGAGUCAUAUGAUCUAAACAGACGAAAUUUAAGGUUGUACUUUUGUUUCCUUUGCCUGUGUGAAAGACACUGAGAUCAUUUUGUGAGUAAUGUGAUACAGUUUAUUAAAACAGUAUGUCUGUAUGUGGUUUUGCUAAUAGUUAAUUUUGCUUAAUUACAAUCAAAAUAUGCUCAAGAAUAAACCUGAUAAAAAGAAUGAAUGAAAAUGUAGUUUGAGUUGUGUUAUUAUUUUAAUACCAUGAUUUUGUUUUUCUGGGUUGGUCUGAUUCUCCUUCAGCCUUGGCAGAUUAGUCUCAGUAUGUGAGACUAACUGGGGAAGAAUAUGAGACAGAUGAAAGUGUGGCAGCCUCUGGCACAUUCAAAAUAUGGAAUAUGUCAUUUUGCUAAUAGCUGGACAUGCUUAACUCGAAUCAGCAUAUACUCAGGAAUGAAUCUAAUCAGAAUGAUAAAUGAAAGGACUGAUUUUAA
Molecule: long non-coding RNA, 1453 nt
Organism: Oreochromis aureus
Lineage: Eukaryota; Metazoa; Chordata; Actinopteri; Cichliformes; Cichlidae
Source: Ensembl